Molecule: non-coding RNA, 21 nt
Filed under: Caenorhabditis elegans
Lineage: Eukaryota; Metazoa; Nematoda; Chromadorea; Rhabditida; Rhabditidae
Source: RNAcentral
UGCGAAAAGUUAGAAAGAAAC